CCUACGGGUGGCAGCAGUGGGGAAUAUUGCACAAUGGGGGAAACCCUGAUGCAGCGACGCCGCGUGAGUGCAGAAGUAUCUCGGUACGUAAAGCUCUAUCAGCAGGAACGAAAAUGACGGUACCUGACCAAGAAGCCACGGCUAACUACGUUCCAGCAGCCGCGGUAAUACGUAGGGGGCAAGCGUUAUACGGAUUUCCUGGGUGUAAAGGGGGCGCAGACGGCAAUGCAAGCCAGUAGUGAAAGCCCGGGGCCCAACCCCGGGACUGCACUUGGAACUGCAUGGCUGGAGUACAGGAGGGGCAGGCGGAAGUCCUAGUGUAGCGGUGAAAUGCGUAGAGAUUAGGAGGAACACCGGUGGCGAAGGCGGCCUGCUGGACUGUGACUGACGUUGAGGCCCGAAGGCGUGGGGAGCAAACAGGAUUAGAUACCCGGGUAGUC
RNAcentral lists this ribosomal RNA (440 nucleotides) under uncultured bacterium. RNAcentral describes it as "partial 16S ribosomal RNA". It matches the Rfam family "Bacterial small subunit ribosomal RNA", at positions 338 to 795 of the family's 1533-position model. The record is from RNAcentral.